AAUCAACGCUGGCGGCGUGCCUCAGACAUGCAAGUCGAACGCGAAAGUCCCCUUCGGGGGGCAAGUAGAGUGGCGCACGGGUGAGUAACACGUAGGUAAUCUACCUUUGGAUGGGGAAUAACAACCGGAACGGUUGCUAAUACCGCAUAAUGCAGCGGCACCUAAUGGUGACAGUUGUUAAAGCGGGGGAUCGAAAGACCUCGCGUCUGAAGAGGAGCCUGCGGCGGAUUAGCAGUUGGUAAGGUAACAGCUUACCAAGGCAACGAUCCGUAGCCGGCCUGAGAGGGCGGUCGGGCCACACUGACACUGACAUACGGGUCAGACUCCUACGGGAGGCAGCAGUCGGGAAUUUUGGGCAAUGGGCGAAAGCCUGACCCAGCAACGCCGCGUGAAGGAUGAAAU
RNAcentral lists this ribosomal RNA (402 nucleotides) under uncultured bacterium. RNAcentral's name for it is "bacterial SSU rRNA". It matches the Rfam family "Bacterial small subunit ribosomal RNA", at positions 32 to 414 of the family's 1533-position model. The record is from RNAcentral.